This 252-nucleotide ribosomal RNA is filed under the name Trichomonas vaginalis. Its description in RNAcentral is "partial small subunit ribosomal RNA". It matches the Rfam family "Eukaryotic small subunit ribosomal RNA", at positions 1270 to 1544 of the family's 1831-position model. The record is from RNAcentral. Lineage: Eukaryota; Parabasalia; Trichomonadida; Trichomonadidae.
GUUUUUGGUGGUGCNUGGCCGUUGNNNGGUGCGUGGGUUGACCUGUCUAGCGUUGAUUCAGCUAACGAGCGAGAUUAUCGCCNAUUAUUUACUUUGCCGAAGUCCUUCGGUUAAAGUUCUAAUUGGGACUCCCUGCGAUUUUAGCAGGUGGAAGAGGGUAGCAAUAACAGGUCCGUGAUGCCCUUUAGAUGCUCUGGGCUGCACGCGUGCUACAAUGUUAGGAUCAAUAGGACUGCGAGCCUUAGAGGGNAA